GCUCCUACGGGGCGCAGCAGUAGGGAAUCUUCCACAAUGGACGAAAGUCUGAUGGAGCAACGCCGCGUGAGUGAAGAAGGGUUUCGGCUCGUAAAGCUCUGUUGGUAGUGAAGAAAGAUAGAGGUAGUAACUGGCCUUUAUUUGACGGUAAUUACUUAGAAAGUCACGGCUAACUACGUGCCCGCAGCCGCGGUAAUACGGAGGUGGCAAGCGUUGUCCGGAUUUUUUGGGCGUAAAGCGAGGGCAGGCGGUU
Molecule: ribosomal RNA, 253 nt
Filed under: uncultured bacterium
Lineage: Bacteria
Description: partial 16S ribosomal RNA
Rfam family: Bacterial small subunit ribosomal RNA
Source: RNAcentral